GCACGACAACGGCAAACCCAUCGAAAGGUGGGGACGCAAAGCUUCCGGCCUACAGGCGCGAGUCGCCCAGGGUAGCGGGGUUGCCGAA
RNAcentral lists this non-coding RNA (88 nucleotides) under Arenimonas composti. RNAcentral describes it as "c-di-GMP sequence". It matches the Rfam family "c-di-GMP-I riboswitch aptamer". From Rfam's summary of the family: GEMM was predicted in a large-scale screen for bacterial structured RNA regulatory elements. Genes associated with GEMM are involved in a diverse array of functions, including chemotaxis regulation, signal transduction, secretion and chitin. Lineage: Bacteria; Pseudomonadati; Pseudomonadota; Gammaproteobacteria; Lysobacterales; Lysobacteraceae. The record is from RNAcentral. RNAcentral also lists the same sequence under 1 other name.